AUUGAACGCUGGCGGCAGGCCUAACACAUGCAAGUCGAGCGGAGCGGCGGACGGGGGAGUAAUGCCUAGUAAUCUGCCUGGUAGUGGGGGAUAACGUCCGGAAACGGGCGCUAAUAACGCAUAAGAUCAGAUGUGCCUAGGUCGGAUUAGCUAGUUGGUGGGGUAAAGGCCUACCAAGGCGACGAUCCGUAACUGGUCCGAGAGGAUGAUCAGUCACACUGGAACUGAGACACGGUCCAGACUCCUACGGAAGGCAGCAGUGGGGAAUAUUGGACAAUGGGCGAAAGCCUGAUCGAGCCAUGCCGCGUGUAUGAAGAAGGCCUUCGGUUUGUAAAGGACUUUCAGCGGGGAGGCGUUACCCGCAGAAGAAGCACCGGCUAACUCCGUGCCAGCAGCCGCGGUAAUAC
RNAcentral lists this ribosomal RNA (407 nucleotides) under uncultured bacterium. Its description in RNAcentral is "partial 16S ribosomal RNA". It matches the Rfam family "Bacterial small subunit ribosomal RNA", at positions 30 to 526 of the family's 1533-position model. The record is from RNAcentral.